Molecule: ribosomal RNA, 490 nt
Filed under: uncultured bacterium
Lineage: Bacteria
Description: partial 16S ribosomal RNA
Rfam family: Bacterial small subunit ribosomal RNA
Source: RNAcentral
AUUGAACGCUGGCGGCAGGCCUAACACAUGCAAGUCGAACGGUAACAGGAAGAAGCUUGCUUCUUUGCUGACGAGUGGCGGACGGGUGAGUAAUGUCUGGGAAACUGCCUGAUGGAGGGGGAUAACUACUGGAAACGGUAGCUAAUACCGCAUAACGUCGCAAGACCAAAGAGGGGGACCUUCGGGCCUCUUGCCAUCGGAUGUGCCCUGAUGGGAUUAGCUAGUAGGUGGGGUAACGGCUCACCUAGGCGACGAUCCCUAGCUGGUCUGAGAGGAUGACCGGCCACACUGGAACUGAGACACGGUCCAGACUCCUACGGGAGGCAGCAGUGGGGAAUAUUGCACAAUGGGCGCAAGCCUGAUGCAGCCAUGCCGCGUGUGUGAAGAAGGCCUUCGGGUUGUAAAGUACUUUCAGCGGGGAGGAAGGGAGUAAAGUUAAUACCUUUGCUCAUUGACGUUACCCGCAGAAGAAGCACCGGCUAACUCCGUG